GCGCCUUUAGCUCAGCUGGAUAGAGCGUCUGGCUACGGACCAGAAGGUCGGGGAUUCGAAUUCCUCAAGGCGUACCA
RNAcentral lists this transfer RNA (77 nucleotides) under Firmicutes bacterium HGW-Firmicutes-16. RNAcentral's name for it is "tRNA-Arg". It matches the Rfam family "tRNA". Rfam says of the family: Transfer RNA (tRNA) molecules are approximately 80 nucleotides in length. Their secondary structure includes four short double-helical elements and three loops (D, anti-codon, and T loops). Further hydrogen bonds mediate the characteristic L-shaped molecular structure. tRNAs have two regions of fundamental functional importance: the anti-codon, which is responsible for specific mRNA codon recognition, and the 3' end, to which the tRNAs corresponding amino acid is attached (by aminoacyl-tRNA synthetases). tRNAs cope with the degeneracy of the genetic code in two manners: having more than one tRNA (with a specific anti-codon) for a particular amino acid; and 'wobble' base-pairing, i.e. permitting non-standard base-pairing at the 3rd anti-codon position. RNAcentral also lists the same sequence under 1 other name. The record is from RNAcentral. Lineage: Bacteria; Bacillati; Bacillota.